GAUGAACGCUGGCGGCGUGCCUAAUACAUGCAAGUCGAGCGAACGGACGAGAAGCUUGCUUCUCUGAUGUUAGCGGCGGACGGGUGAGUAACACGUGGAUAACCUACCUAUAAGACUGGGAUAACUUCGGGAAACCGGAGCUAAUACCGGAUAAUAUUUUGAACCGCAUGGUUCAAAAGUGAAAGACGGUCUUGCUGUCACUUAUAGAUGGAUCCGCGCUGCAUUAGCUAGUUGGUAAGGUAACGGCUUACCAGGGCAACGAUGCAUAGCCGACCUGAGAGGGUGAUCGGCCACACUGGAACUGAGACACGGUCCAGACUCCUACGGGAGGCAGCAGUAGGGAAUCGUCCGCAAUGGGCGAAAGCCUGACGGAGCAACGCCGCGUGAGUGAUGAAGGUCUUCGGAUCGUAAAACUCUGUUAUUAGGGAAGAACAUAUGUGUAAGUAACUGUGCACAUCUUGACGGUACCUAAUCAGAAAGCCACGGCUAACUACGUG
This 497-nucleotide ribosomal RNA is filed under the name uncultured bacterium. Its description in RNAcentral is "partial 16S ribosomal RNA". It matches the Rfam family "Bacterial small subunit ribosomal RNA", at positions 28 to 507 of the family's 1533-position model. The record is from RNAcentral.